This 305-nucleotide long non-coding RNA is filed under the name Panax ginseng (ginseng). RNAcentral describes it as "long non-coding RNA (PGIN_LNC016675)". The record is from RNAcentral. Lineage: Eukaryota; Viridiplantae; Streptophyta; Magnoliopsida; Apiales; Araliaceae.
CCGCUAGCAUUGCUUCAUACUCGGCUUCGUUGUUUGUCGCUUUAAAUCCGAAUCUGAUGGCCUGUUGAACUUUGAACCCGUCCGGACUUGUCAAGAUAAUUCCUGCCCCACUAACAGUUAGGGUAGAGGAACCAUCUACAUAUAGAGUCCAAACAUUCUGAUUUUGUUGAAGAACUGCAACUGCUCGAUCGGUCGAUUCAGCUUCCGAGAACUCGGCAUCUGCUUCGGUGAACGAACAUUCUACCAUGAAAUCGGCCAAAGCUUGACCUUUGAUAGCGGUUCGGGGAUGGUAUUAGAUGAAAAAC